GAUUCUCACUUCGGCAUACAUAUACUAAAAUUGGAAUGAUACAGAGAAGAUUAGCAUGGCCCCUGUGCAAUGAUGACACGCAAAUUCUUGAAGCAUUUCAUAUUUUU
Choloepus didactylus (southern two-toed sloth) is the source of this 107-nucleotide small nuclear RNA. The record is from RefSeq and is a predicted model, not a curated record. NCBI's taxonomy places the organism in Eukaryota, Metazoa, Chordata, Mammalia, Pilosa, Megalonychidae.